GAUGAACGCUGGCGGCGUGCCUAACACAUGCAAGUCGAGCGAUUCUCUUCGGAGAAGAGCGGCGGACGGGCGAGUAACGCGUGGGUAACCUGCCCUGUACACACGGAUAACAUACCGAAAGGUAUGCUAAUACGGGAUAAUAUGCUUUAGUCGCAUGGCUGAACUAUCAAAGCUCCGGCGGUACAGGAUGGACCCGCGUCUGAUUAGCUAGUUGGUAUGGUAACGGCUUACCAAGGCGACGAUCAGUAGCCGACCUGAGAGGGUGAUCGGCCACAUUGGAACUGAGACACGGUCCAAACUCCUACGGGAGGCAGCAGUGGGGAAUAUUGCACAAUGGGCGAAAGCCUGAUGCAGCAACGCCGCGUGAGCGAUGAAGGCCUUCGGGUCGUAAAGCUCUGUCCUCAAGGAAGAUAAUGACGGUACUUGAGGAGGAAGCCCCGGCUAACUACGUGCCAGCCGCCGCAGUAA
Molecule: ribosomal RNA, 468 nt
Filed under: uncultured bacterium
Lineage: Bacteria
Description: partial 16S ribosomal RNA
Rfam family: Bacterial small subunit ribosomal RNA
Source: RNAcentral